UGGAAUGAUGAUUUUUGUAGACUAGAGUCUCUGAGCGAAGAGCCUGAAGUUGAUUUACAUGACUGACCA
Small nucleolar RNA from Lampris incognitus (smalleye Pacific opah), 69 nucleotides. RefSeq annotates it as small nucleolar RNA SNORD52. The transcript has a single exon. NCBI's taxonomy places the organism in Eukaryota, Metazoa, Chordata, Actinopteri, Lampriformes, Lampridae. The record is from RefSeq and is a predicted model, not a curated record.